Molecule: ribosomal RNA, 253 nt
Filed under: uncultured bacterium
Lineage: Bacteria
Description: partial 16S ribosomal RNA
Rfam family: Bacterial small subunit ribosomal RNA
Source: RNAcentral
UACAGAGGUCUCGAGCGUUGUUCGGAUUCAUUGGGCGUAAAGGGCGCGUAGGCGGCUGCCAAAGUCGGGUGUGAAAGCCUUGAGCUCAACUCAAGAAAUGCACUCGAUACUUGGUGGCUAGAGGACCGGAGAGGAUAGUGGAAUUCCCAGUGUAGUGGUGAAAUACGUAGAGAUUGGGAAGAACACCAGUGGCGAAGGCGGCUAUCUGGACGGUUUCUGACGCUAAGACGCGAAAGCGUGGGGAGCAAACAGG